AUUGAACGCUGGCGGCAGGCCUAACACAUGCAAGUCGAGCGGAUGAAGGGAGCUUGCUCCUGGAUUCAGCGGCGGACGGGUGAGUAAUGCCUAGGAAUCUGCCUGGUAGUGGGGGAUAACGUCCGGAAACGGGCGCUAAUACCGCAUACGUCCUGAUGGAGAAAGUGGGGGAUCUUCGGACCUCACGCUAUCAGAUGAGCCUAGGUCGGAUUAGCUAGUUGGUGGGGUAAAGACCUACCAAGGCGACGAUCCGUAACUGGUCUGAGAGGAUGAUCAGUCACACUGGAAGUGGGACACGGUCCAGACUCCUACGGGAGGCAGCAGUGGGGAAUAUUGGACAAUGGGCGAAAGCCUGAUCCAGCCAUGCCGCGUGUGUGAAGAAGGUCUUCGGAUUGUAAAGCACUUUAAGUUGGGAGGAAGGGCAGUAAGUUAAUACCUUGCUGUUUUGACGUUACCAACAGAAUAAGCACCGGCUAACUUCGUG
This 484-nucleotide ribosomal RNA is filed under the name uncultured bacterium. RNAcentral's name for it is "partial 16S ribosomal RNA". It matches the Rfam family "Bacterial small subunit ribosomal RNA", at positions 30 to 507 of the family's 1533-position model. The record is from RNAcentral.